GUUCUUGUAGUUGAAUACAACAAUAGUUUUUCAGAUUAUUAGUCUAGGUUUAAGUCCUUGCAGGAAUA
This 68-nucleotide transfer RNA is filed under the name Breviceps mossambicus (Mozambique rain frog). RNAcentral's name for it is "tRNA-Glu". It matches the Rfam family "tRNA". From Rfam's summary of the family: Transfer RNA (tRNA) molecules are approximately 80 nucleotides in length. Their secondary structure includes four short double-helical elements and three loops (D, anti-codon, and T loops). Lineage: Eukaryota; Metazoa; Chordata; Amphibia; Anura; Brevicipitidae. The record is from RNAcentral.